AGUUUUAUUUAUGGCUAAAUAAGAGUGCACUGUCACUAACACAACUACUAUUUCUCUUGGUCUUAGUGGCAUUUAUUUUCAACUGGAUUGGAUUUUGUUUAUCCUUCUGUAUAACUAACACCAUAGCAGGAAGGUAUGGUGCAAUCUGUGGAUUUGGCCUAUCGCUGAUCAAAUGGAUUCUCAUUGUACGGUUCUCAGACUACUUUACUGGAUAUUUCAAUGGACAGUACUGGCUUUGGUGGAUAUUUCUUGUACUUGGUCUCCUCCUGUUCUUCCGAGGGUUUGUCAAUUACCUUAAAGUCAGAAACAUGUCUGAAAGCAUGGCAGCUGCUCAUAGAACAAGAUUUUUCUUCUUGUAUUAGAGACUGCAUCAACCAGACAUUCCUUUCCUUUACCAAUGUGAAAUUUCCAGAUGAUCGGUAACCCUCCAAGUUAAUAAGAUAGAAGACUACUAAAAACAGAAGACAAAGUUUUGAAGAAAAGAUAUAGCUUCUAAAAUGAAUGACAGGGUGGUUUUUGCUUAAGUGCCAGUUCUGUUCAUUCUAGUAAAUAUUUAUAUUAAGUGUUUCCUUUGUUUUUGCACAUUUGCAUAUGUGCUAACUAAAGGAUAGGAUUGAAAUGAAAACAAACCAUACAUACAGUCUAAUUAUAGAGCUUAAGUACUGUCAGACUUGGUUAAUCUGUGUUUGUUGUUUGUGAAAGCUUUAAGUGGCAGUUUGUCUCAUAGCAUGUAUGUGCCAUUGUCUUGUUGAUAUGAAGUUAAAUUGAAAGUAAAAAUGGAAUACAGUAAAUGAUUCAGAUUAACCAGGUCAGACUUAUAGUUAGUUUUUUUUAUAUAAUUUAGGUUCAUCUAAUGAUUGUGCAACAUGCAACCUUUUUGUUAUAAAGUUUACUAAAACUUGCAGCUUCUGAUCAUAAUAAACCUGUAUUGAUCGGCUUUUAUGAAACUCUC
RNAcentral lists this long non-coding RNA (952 nucleotides) under Gopherus agassizii (Agassiz's desert tortoise). Its description in RNAcentral is "lncRNA (ENSGAGG00000023086.1)". Lineage: Eukaryota; Metazoa; Chordata; Testudines; Testudinidae. The record is from RNAcentral.